This 320-nucleotide small nuclear RNA is filed under the name Castor canadensis (American beaver). RNAcentral's name for it is "7SK RNA (ENSCCNG00000010780.1)". It matches the Rfam family "7SK RNA". Rfam says of the family: 7SK was discovered as an abundant small nuclear RNA in the mid-70s but a possible function has only recently been suggested. Two independent studies have found that 7SK RNA binds the CDK9/cyclin T complex (known as elongation factor P-TEFb). P-TEFb activates transcription by phosphorylating the C-terminal domain of RNA polymerase II. The record is from Rfam by way of RNAcentral. Lineage: Eukaryota; Metazoa; Chordata; Mammalia; Rodentia; Castoridae.
GGAUGUGAGGGCGAUCUGGCUGCGACAUCUGUCACCCCAUUGAUCGCCAGGGUUGAUUCGGCUGAUCUGGCUGGCUAGGCGGGUGUCCCCUUCCUCCCUCACCGCUCCAUGUGCGUCCCUCCCGAAGCUGCGCGCUCGGUCGAAGAGGACGACCAUCCCCGAUAGAGGAGGACCGUUCUUCGGUCAAGGGUAUACGAGUAGCUGCGCUCCCCUGCUAGAACCUCCAAACAAGCUCUCAAGUGUCUUUCCCAACCACUAUGACAUGAAAGUAGAAACCAAUAUCAGAAAGAAAAUUGAAAACUUUAUAAAAGUUUAAAAUU